CCGAAAGUUGCCGAGAAAACUCAGCGGAAAUUCGUACUUCCCACACUGUGCCCUGGGGGACCGGAGGAUCGGAUGGAGCGGCGGAGAGGGAGGACGGCGCGGCGGGGGGGCGGAGGGAGGAAGCCCGCGGCCAGUCCUGGCUCGGUUCAGCCCCGGCAGCGAGCAGGGGCGCAAAGUGGGAAAGAAGGAAUUGGAACCGGCUGUGGCUGCCUCCCAGCCACAUGGGUUACAGAGAAAGUUGCGCAUCGGGGAGGGGGAAGGGAACAGAAGUAAACUAAUCGUCGUCGUCCCCUUUUUUUCCUCUUCUGUUUAGAAACCUGCCAAAAGCAACAGUUACGAUUUACCAGGGAUUUAGGACUUUCUAUUGUGUUGAGCAAACAGCAAUCAGAGGACUAAGCUAGUUAUAGUACAUCAGAAUGAAUUUUCAUUCUUUCUCCUCACCGUCCUGCUCAGUAGGUUCCCGACAAAGCUGCCAAUGAGGAUGCAGUUGAAUAUGGCUGCAGCUCGAUGAGGGGCUCGUCAGAGUGAUCCCGAUGCUCUUCAGAAAGAAUUCCCAUUUUUAAAGAGUCUUCUUUCUCAACAGCACAAAAAUUUAGAGGGAAAAGAAGAUUGUGAAGAACAAUCCUCUCCUUCGUCCAGGUAUCACCAUGAUAACCGAUGACCCGGUUUGAAAGUUGCAAUCUUCUGGGAAGUCUGAAGUUACUUGGACAGUGGAUCCUGAGUUCUAUUCUAGACUCUUUUCUUUGAUUAAGAACUCUUACAUAUUACUCAUGUACCACGCUGGAUUUAGAGUAUUAAUUUCUACAGUCAUACACAAUAUAAUUUUUAUUUCUGUUACCUUAUAUAAUAUGAAUAGAAUAACAUGCCCUUGAGAGGGCUUGUACCUAGUCUUGUUCAAUUUGUCAUUGUAAAAAAACCUAUUUCAGAUUAGUGCUGGAUAUUUAGGUAUGUACAUCAGCAUUGUUCUAGCAGUGUUGUUUUAGCUCGCUCUUAUUUUUUUUUUCACCUCCCCGCCUCUGUUUUAUGUGAUGGGUAGUGUUUUUGCCCAAAAUUAGGAAAAUAAGCCUGUACCAAAAUUGACAUCCUCAAAGUAAUAAAACUUAAUAGAAACCACAUUUGUGAUGGACUUCUUGUUAACAAGAAUCUAUAGGAUCGCUGCCGACAUAUCAUGUUACAGAUAUCUCAUUCUUAAUCAGUGUAGGUUCAGAAACUUGGUUUCAGAGGUAGAGGAAGGGAAGAGGGGCAGAAGGAAGAACUACAACUUAAGGGUAGAAUCUUGUUGAUUUAUAUUUUUGUGGUAUUUUUAGGUUAUUUAUUGAGUUUUGUUACUGUAAAUGGCUUAUUUGAUUGCCCUUGUUAUUUCAUAAAUAAUUUUACAUUUCGGUGACUAGUUAUAGCUGACCUAAUCUUGAUUGUACAGGCCAUGUGAGAAAAGAGAGUAAACGCUAUUGCCACCAGGGAACUUGCUUAACAAAAACCAGUGCUGUCCAGUCUAAAAGUAUGGACUGGUCUUUAAAAAAAUCCUGAUUUAGCUGGAAUCUCAAAUGAAACAAUAUACUUGUGCCUGUGGUAUAACAUACAUGUACUUAGAGAAAAGUGCAGCAAACACAGAAUAUUUGACUUUUAAUUAUUUCUUUACCUCAGUGACUUCUCUGUUAAGAUGAAUAUUCAACUGUAUUUUUGGCCAGAUCUUCAGUUGGCAUUAUUUGUUAUAGCAUUACUGGCUUUUCUUGACACCAGUUAAAGUGAUGGUCCUUUAGCAGGCUACGUUUUCACUCGAUCCCUCCUGUAAACGUUUUUAAAUCUUCUAUAACCUAGAGAGAUUGAGUUGUGUAUGAGGCCAAAUUACCAUAAAAAUGAAAUGUAUUCAACAAAAUAAGUGCUUUUUUCCCGGUGGUAAUAUCUCCAUGUAAUAAGAAAAGUGCAGAAAGGAUAGUUGCAACUUUUCAGUUAUAGAAUCAGUUUUGUUCAUGCUGUAGAAUAAAAGUGUUUCUGAAGCAAGUCAUUCAUUAAGAACUACUGGGGACUUAAGUCUGUAUAAUAACCAUGAUAAAAGGGGCUUAGCAUUCAGGAUGAAUUAUAGUGAAAGCAUAUAUUGCAUAUAUAUACACACAGUAUAUCAUGAUAAAAUUGUUUAAGCACAUUAUUAAAGUUUCUAAUAAUAUAUUCAAACUUUGUGAGGUAAAAAACCUUUUCUGUUUACUUGCAUAACUUCAAAAUCAUAAGGAGAGAGAACUUCCUUCUCUCUUCUUCAGUGUAAUCUAUGUCAAGAACAGCUUUGUGUUUUGGUGUUCUCCUUUCCACCUUUCCUACUUGAGACAACUUUGCUUGAAAAAUCUAUGUUUAGAUUAGAUAUUAGGAAAAAAUUCUUUACUGUGAGGGUGGUGAGACACUGGAACAAGUUGUCCAGAAAGGUUGUGAACUCCCCAUCCCUGGAAAUCUUCAUGACCAGGCUGGAUUGGGCUCUAGAUAACCUGAUCUAGUGAAAAGUGUUGCUGCCCACGGUAGAGGGGUUGGAUCUAGAUGAUCCCUAAGGUUCCUUCCAACCCCUACAAUUCUAUAAUUCUAUAAAAUAAGUAAAACCUUCCUUCAUAGAAUGCUGAUUUUUAUUUUUAUACUUGAAAUAUCAUGUGAAGUAUAAUUCAUGUAUUGAAGAAGUGUUAUACCUUUGGGAGAUGAUUCUUCUCUUUCUCUGCUAAUAACAAAUAAUGCAAUUUUAUAUUAUGACAUAUUGUGACUACAAUAGGUUUAGAAAUUGAAAGUUAAAAUUAGCAAACAAAUAUAAUUUCUCAAAGGAAUAAUUGGUUUUAUGGCUCAGGGAAUAAAUAUCUGAAGUGGAAGGAAUGUUAAGAACUCCCAACAUUUGCCACUUGACGAUUAAGGCUGUAACCUUUCAUGUUUUAUGAGAGAAGCUUUCAAACUUCUCCAUCUCAAUGAAAUAUUUCAGAGUUGUCAAGUCCACUAGUGGAAUAAACAUGAAGUGGGAUGCUUGGACUACAGUACAGUGGUCCUUCAGCUUUAGGCAUCUCAAGUAGAAAAAGUCAGUGGCAGUGGGGUCAGUUUGUCUUCUCUGACUUAGUAAAAGUGAGAGUCUCUGGCCUUGCUUCUAUUUUAAAGGCAUGCUUCUGGCAUCAGAAAAAUGCCCGGGUAGGCUAGAGAAUAAAAUAUAUGUUAUCCCACUGUUAUGUUUGUAUUUAAAAUACCUGUAUUUUAAAAAGUGGAAUAAAAAUAGGCAGACUUUAGUUAAUUGACAAACAUGGCAAUAAUGACCAAGUUUCUGGAAAAGAAAAAAGGCAAGAAUUAAGAUUGUAAAUGUGUGCAAACAACUUUAGGUCAUAAUUUUGAUUGAAAUACGUUAUAAAAAACUUUCCUUGGAUGAGGAAAUAUGGGAAAUAUGUGACUGAAAACUUCUGCUCUUGGAUAAUCUGACUUAAGGGCUCCUCACACAUGACAGUGAUGCCAUUAUAUAGGAAGAGAACAGUUUCUAAGGCCCAUCCAAGGCAAAGUGUACAGUGUUGUGAAGUAAGGUUGGUGCUCUACUCUCAACUGUCUGUCAUAUGGAGACAGAAUUUAUUUUGUCAAAAUACUGAGAUAACAAUAACAAACUAAAAACAUUUACAGAAGAAGAUGUAGAAUAGUCUAUCCUACCAUAUCCAUGAAGGUAUACUUUUGUUUACUAACCUUUAUCUUUUUUUUUUCUUCUUUUUUUUCUUUUUCUUAUUUUUCUUCUUUUUUUUUUUAACAUGAUUUCGAGUUAUCCAUAAAAAAGUCACAUAGUCUUAUUUGUUACACCCUUCUUAAUUAUUUCCUUUAAUUUAGAUAAAAUAUAUAUUUUGUGGAAAUUAAACUUGUUUCCAUGGUAAAGGAAGAUUAAUAAGCUCUUUUUGUAUCACCACUUACAGUUCACUAUGAAACUGCCCUUGUGCAGCCUCAUCAGCUAUUUCUGUUGGCACACAACAGAGCUGGAGUUUUGCCUAGAGUAGCACAAUCUUUUUAUUUGCUGGAGAAACAGCUAGUCACCACCUCAGCUAUAUGAUACUCUGCCUACUGCUAUGCAGGGACAUAGUUGCUCACUGUUUGUGCUAGUGCCCACAUCUCUAAAGCUCUGUGAUGUCCACACUUUAUCAUUUUUUUCCUAACAGUUCUCUGUAUUCCUGUUUUUUAUAUAUUUCUGUUGGUUUCUUUCAGCCUCUUACUCUCAGUCAGUGCCUGACUUGACUACUUGCUUACAGUUGUCAUGCCAACUACCAAUCCUGGAAACUCAAGUAGAGAGAGGAUUUAUCCUUUUUUCUCCCCUUUUUUUGUGAGAAGUACUCACUUCACAGUUACCAAGCUGCAUGAACUGAAUGUAUGAAUUGCAUUGGAAAACAAUAUGUUAAAAGGGAAUUGCUUUAGAAAGGAAGAAACAUGGAAAUUUCAUCUCAGAUAAUAUUGCUCUGCGGAGAUUCUUAUAGCCAUUUUUCAGUGAAGAGAAGAAAAGAUUCAUCAUGGAAUGACCUAUGGCAUUUUAUAUUUACAGUAUAGUCUUCAACACGUGCAGAUGCUGGACCAAGGGGGUCUCAGUGCCCUGAGCUGGAGGACCAUGGCUGCGAGAAUUAUCAACUCCCAGCCAACCCUGAAAUUGUGCAGGAUUGGCUGCUUCAGCUGGAUCCCUACAAAUCUAUGGGGCCUGAUGGAAUUCAUCUCAGAAUCCUCAAAGAGCUAACUGAUGUCAUUGCAAAACCUUUCUCGACGAUUUUGAGUGGUCUUGGUAAUCUGGAGAGAUCCCAGCUGACUGGAAGCUGAUGAAUGUUGUCCCAGUUUUCAAGAAGGGCAAGAAGGAGGACCCUGGAAACU
Pipra filicauda (Wire-tailed manakin) is the source of this 4836-nucleotide long non-coding RNA. RefSeq lists it as uncharacterized. NCBI's taxonomy places the organism in Eukaryota, Metazoa, Chordata, Aves, Passeriformes, Pipridae. The transcript has 5 exons. The record is from RefSeq and is a predicted model, not a curated record.